GGUUGGUCCGCGUGCAUUGGUGUUUACAACUAAUUGAUCAUAACCAGUUACUAAUUCCUUUGUUCCUUCUCCACUCCCACUGCUUUACUAGACCAGUCUUUA
RNAcentral lists this Y RNA (102 nucleotides) under Propithecus coquereli (Coquerel's sifaka). Its description in RNAcentral is "Y RNA (ENSPCOG00000002449.1)". It matches the Rfam family "Y RNA". Rfam says of the family: Y RNAs are components of the Ro ribonucleoprotein particle (Ro RNP), in association with Ro60 and La proteins. Lineage: Eukaryota; Metazoa; Chordata; Mammalia; Primates; Indriidae. The record is from Rfam by way of RNAcentral.